RNAcentral lists this ribosomal RNA (491 nucleotides) under uncultured bacterium. Its description in RNAcentral is "partial 16S ribosomal RNA". It matches the Rfam family "Bacterial small subunit ribosomal RNA", at positions 29 to 507 of the family's 1533-position model. The record is from RNAcentral.
GUGAACGCUGGCGGUAGGCCUAACACAUGCAAGUCGAACGGCAGCACAGUAAGAGCUUGCUCUUACGGGUGGCGAGUGGCGGACGGGUGAGGAAUACAUCGGAAUCUACUUUUUCGUGGGGGAUAACGUAGGGAAACUUACGCUAAUACCGCAUACGACCUACGGGUGAAAGCAGGGGAUCUUCGGACCUUGCGCGAUUGAAUGAGCCGAUGUCGGAUUAGCUAGUUGGCGGGGUAAAGGCCCACCAAGGCGACGAUCCGUAGCUGGUCUGAGAGGAUGAUCAGCCACACUGGAACUGAGACUCGGUCCAGACUCCUACGGGAGGCAGCAGUGGGGAAUAUUGGACAAUGGGCGCAAGCCUGAUCCAGCCAUACCGCGUGGGUGAAGAAGGCCUUCGGGUUGUAAAGCCCUUUUGUUGGGAAAGAAAAGCAGCAGGUUAAUACCCCGCUGUUCUGACGGUACCCAAAGAGUAAGCACCGGCUAACUUCGUG